Molecule: ribosomal RNA, 468 nt
Filed under: uncultured bacterium
Lineage: Bacteria
Description: partial 16S ribosomal RNA
Rfam family: Bacterial small subunit ribosomal RNA
Source: RNAcentral
GACGAACGCUGGCGGCGUGCUUAACACAUGCAAGUCGAACGGAAAGGCCCUGCUUUUGUGGGGUGCUCGAGUGGCGAACGGGUGAGUAACACGUGAGUAACCUGCCCUUGACUUUGGGAUAACUUCAGGAAACUGGGGCUAAUACCGGAUAGGAGCUCCUGCUGCAUGGUGGGGGUUGGAAAGUUUCGGCGGUUGGGGAUGGACUCGCGGCUUAUCAGCUUGUUGGUGGGGUAGUGGCUUACCAAGGCUUUGACGGGUAGCCGGCCUGAGAGGGUGACCGGGCCAAAUGGGGACGGGGGAAGGGCCAAGACCCUUACGGAGGGAAGAGGGGGGAAAAAUGGAAAAAGGGGCGGAGGCCUGAGGCGGAAAGGCGGCGUGGGGAAUGACGGCCUUCGGGUGGAAAACCGCUUUGGCCUGGGACGAGGCGGGAGGAACGGUAAGGGGAAAAGAAGAACCGGCAAAUUAGGU